UGCGUAGACGGUUAUGUAAGUCGGGUGUGAAAGCCCUGGGCUCAACCUGGGAAUUGCAUUCGAAACUGCAUAGCUAGGGUGCGGAAGAGGGAAGCGGAACUUCCGGUGUAGCGGUGAAAUGCGUAGAUAUCGGAAAGAACACCAGUGGCGAAAGCGGCUUCCUGGUCCAGCACCGACGUUCAGGCACGAAAGCGUGGGGAGCAAACAGGAUUAGAUACCCUGGUAGUCCACGCCAUAAACGAUGAGAACUAGACGUUGAGAGGGUAAGCCUCACAGUGUCGUAGCUAACGCGCUAAGUUCUCCGCCUGGGGAGUACGGCCGCAAGGUUGAA
Molecule: ribosomal RNA, 331 nt
Filed under: uncultured bacterium
Lineage: Bacteria
Description: bacterial SSU rRNA
Rfam family: Bacterial small subunit ribosomal RNA
Source: RNAcentral